Molecule: long non-coding RNA, 640 nt
Organism: Dermacentor andersoni
Lineage: Eukaryota; Metazoa; Arthropoda; Arachnida; Ixodida; Ixodidae
Source: RefSeq, a predicted model, not a curated record
GCAGCGGCAUGUAUGCUGCGAGUAACAUCGUGGACCCAGCACUGGAAACUUGGAGAGCGCCUUUCCACCUCGUCGUACUGUGUAAACGGGGUGAGGCCGUGACCCGCAACAUAAACCACAAGAUCGAGGAGGCCCCAUAAAUGCAGACCCUGUGGAUAUAUGGCUGCAGCAGCAUGGCGUGUGAUCUGGAUGGUCAUGUCAGGGUGCACCGUCGCCCAUUACUAGACGGACCAAAUGAGGCUAGAAACUAGCCUUUCCUCGCUCCUUUCCUGGGAAGUGAAAUAGCAGGAGGUCCCCUUUCAGCCACAUGCUCUAGGACCACCUUCUGUAUACUAGUGUAAGCAUGUAUGUCUCCUCCUUAUUAAAGAAAUAAACUGAAACUCGAUAGAAAUGUUCUAUAGGAAUUUGUCUUUAGGAUCUUAAAUGUAACUGCAUAGAAAUGUUCUAUAGAAAUGUGUCUUUACAGUUCCUAUAAGAAUGUCGUGGCCAAAUAACUUUUAGAACUCUAUAGGAAAAUUCUAUAGGCAAUCAAAAUAUACACAAUACAGUUGUAUAGAACAAAUUCGAAGACUUUCUAAAAAAAACGCAUUAAAAAUGUUUGUAAGAGUACGCUCCUUGAUAUGAUGCGUUGGUUGGCUUG